CCUAAGGUCACACAGCUACAAAGCAGCAGUACCAGAAUUUGAACUCAGGCUCUCUAACUCCAGACCCCCAGUUCUUUACAACUGUAUGGCAGAUAACUUAUGUUUUCCUUAGAACUUACAGUGAGGCACAAAACUGGCUGAAAUGGAGGAAUCAGCAAUCUCUGCCAAGGUUAUGUAGUUGUUCUUUUGGAGUAGAAGUUCUAAUUUUGGCUUACUGAAGACAUAGGGUAUAAUUCCUCAUCUUGAUCUAAUUAAUAUCCAGGGACCAGAAAUUCAAGUCAUCUUUGAUAUAAGAAACUUAUCAAACAGUGCCAUCCAAUGAGGAUAUUUUCUUGUCUACUUUCAAAAUUGAGUUGGGAGUUUCAGUUAUUAUUUAAAAUUUUUUUCACAAAUAUAGUUUUUUUUCAUAGAACACAGAUGCUCUUAACUCCCUAGCAGUCACCAUCUGUACCUCAAUUUACAUUUCCCAAAACACUGCUGACAUCUGUUUAAAUGCCAAUCUCUCCCCAACUUAGUAGGAUUUUAGCUCAAAAGUGAUAUCCUUUGAAUGAUUUGAAAUUUCAAAGUUAAAGUGAUUUUAAUCAAAAUGCUCAAUGGCUACAGGUAUCCAGGCUGUAUCUGUCCCUUUGAGAAGGUUUCCACAAAAUGGAGGCUAAUAUUAAUAGUGAUCUGUCAUUUCCAGGGGAAUGUGGGACCAUUUUGCCAGGUUAGACUUUUCAUCAAUGGGAAAAGGAAGGGAGAGGUUCUGAGUUGUCAGGGAGAGAAUUCUGGGUGAUUAGGAGUUCUCCCAAAGAAUCAUUGCCCUAGAUUCCUUUCUGUAGGUUGAUGCUCCUUUUAUACAGAGAUGUCUGACUUUCUUCAGCAAAUCAUUAUGUGAGAGGAGGCAUAGAACAUACGUCUGGGGAUAGACUCAGCGUGGAAAUGGGGCUGAAGGCUGGUUGAACAGUGGGACUGAGAGAGAAGCAUGAGUUGUGGGAAACUGAUUUUUUUUUUUAAAGAACAUAUAGAAAUUAUGCCCCUAAAUGAGUGAUGCUCCUUCCUAAUGGGCACCUGGGGAAACUAUAAACUUAAUCUAAUGGUUCCAUAAUUAUUCAAAACAUUCAAGUAGUUACUUUGAAGUCAAGGGCACAUUUGUUUUGGAAAUUCUCAAUGAUGUUAAAUCUUUAUUUGAGAGAAAAUUCGAUUUUUGGACAAAUCCAAAAGUCAUCUGGAAUGUAGUUUUGUUAUAAAGUGGGUUUUGGGGGGCAAUUUUUCCUAAGUGGUUCACAAAGGGAUUCCAAGAAGGCAGUUUCAUAAGAUGAUUUUAGAGAAAUCGUAAACAAUGGAAGCAUCAGGAGACUAGGUAUGUAAUCCCUUGAGAAGAAUUCUUCAUUUGGAAGUAUAAAUUUGGUCUUGUUUGUGUUUUGGAAUCAGACAGAUCUGGGCUUUGGAUCUGACUUCAUAUAUAUUUCAAGAUAUGUGACCUGAGUUACUUAACCAUGUUAAGCCUCAGUUAGUUUUGUCUCCUGUGAAAUAGAGAUAAUUAUAGUAUCUACCUCCUGGCCUUGUGGGGAUUAAAGAGGGCAAUGUAUGUAAAGUGCUUUGCCCAGCACCUGGCAUAUAAUAUAGAAGGCACUCAAUAAAGUGGUUGAUAUAUGGAUUCUAAUCUCCUAGGAUGCAGUGUGAUGUAUCAGAAGGACUUGGAGCCAUGUUCUACCACUUAUUUGGCUAUAAUGGUCCUAAGAAAGCCAUUAAUUUGUAGGGUCCUACUUCCUUCUUUGCAAAGUUUAGCCCUUGGGAAGGCAUUUUACCACCAAUAAAUCCCUACCUUUGUAAAACCCUAACAACACAGAGGUUUUAGAGAGUAUAAGGAGAGAGAAGGAACGGUUUAAAUCAACCUCUCGAGAGACUGAGGAAUGAACGGUGGAGACCAGCUGUGAGAGAGAUGGUUCUAACAUGGAAAAAUGAAUCAAAGUCUUGAAUACAUCAUCCAAGUUGUAUUCUAAGAUGGCCCUGUGCACUCUCACUAUUAGAAGAAUUUAAGACAAGCCAGAAAUGAGGUGGGUAACCGUAGCUAAAGUAGACCAAAUACUGAAAAGAAAAUUAAAUUCAAAUAUUUUCACGUGUCAGCCACUGUUCGUGUUCUGAUUCAGUGGUUGGCAUUUCUAACAUAGGAUCUGAAUCAAGAGCUUCUAACAGGAGAAAAUUAAACACAGCUUUAUAACAUGUGUACAUGGGAGAGGCUCAGGCAACCUGAGCAACUCGCCAAAAUGGCUGAAGCCACCACCUUAAAUAUCAUCUGCUAAAGGCGAAGGAGGAUGUUGGGGGUGGGGGAAGUCGAUCAUGGGAGAUUACCACACAAGUACAGUAAACAAGAGUCAGGUUGUUAUGCAGACUUGAGUCCUUGCCUUCCACAUUGAUAAGAGUUUCUACAGAUAAGGUACAGAGAGGGAGACACCUUUACAGAUGGAGAUUUCCUUUACAAUGUAAAUGUCGCUUAACAAAGGGUAAGUAAAUUCUGCUUUUCAGAGCUUCUUUCCUGUCUGCAGUUUUUAAAAGUAACCAGCCCAAGAUAAUCCUCAGGCCAAAGAGACAUAUCUUGGGGUGGCCAAUUCCAGUCCCCCACACCUCCUUUGAAAAAUUGAGAUGGAAAUCCCUAGUCAGAGACUGAUUACCACUCAUUUGCUGAUUAUGAGCAGUAUCCUCUCAAAGAAAAGUAAUGCAUUUCCAUGUUUCAUGCUACAGGUCUUGUCUGAAGGUAUGUUUCAGAGAGGGGUGCAAAGGAUUCCUAUAAUUUUGACUCUGACGAGAAUGCUGUGGUCAUUCUCUGAAGUCUCUUUCUCUGAGUUCCAGUUUGCUUCUGCUCUAGCCUUGGCCUUUGUAGGGGAUGGUGAGGAGGACGGACGUGGGGACCAGGAAGGACUUCUUCAAGCCUGGCACGUGCCUCAGUCAGAGUUGCUGGGCCUAACUCUGGACCAUUUCCUCUGAAAUGAAUCCAGGGAAGUAGUCCGGACAGUUGGAGACAUAAGUACAGUCAGGGCAAGUGUUCCUACCUUUGUCAUUACCAAGGCACUUUUAGAAAUUUGUUUCCUACUCUCAGAGAUUUGACACUUUAACAAUUUUAUUUACCAAAUAGUAUUUAUCAAGUAAUAAUUGCUUUGUUUUUCUUUAUUAAGAUAAACUGGGGAUAACUGCCAAUCAGAGUUUUUGAUUGACAUAUGAUAACCGUGUUAUUGAUUUGAUCUAAUGCCAUAAAAAUUAAACAAAUGAAAAUGAAAGAAAACCUGGUAUAUAUAUUUAUGUUUAUUUUAGUUAUAUGUGUGUUUUCCAUUAGGCUUUCAAAAUAUUAAAUAUAAUUCACAG
This 3342-nucleotide long non-coding RNA is filed under the name Equus caballus (horse). RNAcentral's name for it is "lncRNA (ENSECAG00000059720.1)". Lineage: Eukaryota; Metazoa; Chordata; Mammalia; Perissodactyla; Equidae. The record is from RNAcentral.